UCAAGCUACUAAGGGCAUACGGUGGAUGCCUUGGCGCCAUACGCCGAUGAAGGACGCGAUAAGCUGCGAAAAGCCACGGGGAACUGCAAAUAAGUAUCGAUCCGUGGAUGUCCGAAUGGGGAAACCCGGCAGCCGUAAUGGGCUGUCACCCUCGUAAGAGGGAGGGAACCCGGUGAACUGAAACAUCUAAGUAGCCGGAGGAAGAGAAAUCAAACGAGAUGCCCCCAGUAGCGGCGAGCGAAGCGGGCAGAGCCCAAACCGAAGGUCUUCGGGCCUUCGGGGUUGUGGACCGGCAGAAUCGAGCAAGUUGUUAGCCGAAUCCUCUGGAAAGAGGAGCGAGAGAGGGUAAUAGCCCCGUAGGCGAAAACGACGCGCAAGAGGCCGAGAUCCGGAGUACCACGGAGCACGAGGAAUUCUGUGGGAAGCAGGGGGGACCACCCUCCAAGGCUAAAGACGAAAUGGCGACCGAUAGCGCAUAGUACCAUGAGGGAAAGGUGAAAAGAACCCCGGGAGGGGAGUGAAAGAGAACCUGAAACCGUAUGUCUACAAGCAGUCGGAGCGAAAGCGACGGCGUGCCUAUUGAAGAAUGAGCCAACGAGUUACGUGUGCCGGCAAGGUUAAGCAGAAGAUGCGGAGCCGUAGGGAAACCGAGUCUGAAGAGGGCGAGGAGUCGGUAUAGGUAGACCCGAAACUGUAGUGAUCUACGCAUGGCCAGAUUGAAACGCAGGUAAAAAUGCGCGGAGGAUCGAACCGGGACAUGUUGAAAAAUGUUCGGAUGAGCUGUGCGUAGGGGUGAAAUUCCAAUCGAACGCAGAGAUAGCUGGUUCUCCUCGAAAUAGCUUUAGGGCUAGCCUCAGGCAGUAAGCAUAGGCGGUAGAGCACUGAUCGGGUACGGGGCCGUAAAGGUUACCAACCCCUGUCAAACUCCGAAUGGUUAUGCUGCAAAGCCUGGGAGUCAGACUACGAGUGAUAAGAUCCGUGGUCAAAAGGGAAACAGCCCAGACCAUCAGCUAAGGUCCCCAAUGCCGUACUAAGUGGAAAAGGAUGUGGGGCUUCAUAAACAACCAGGAUGUUGGCUCAGAAGCAGCCACCAUUUAAAGAGUGCGUAAUAGCUCACUGGUCGAGAGGCCCCGCGCCGAAGAUUCCCGGGGCUAAAGUACGGAACCGAAGCUAUGGAUGCGGUGUAAGCCGCGUGGUAGAGGAGCGUUCUCAUCGGGCAGAAGCAGUGCUGUAAGGCGUUGUGGACGGAUGAGAAGUGAGAAUGUUGGCAUGAGUAGCGAAAAGGACGGUGCGAAUCCGUCCCACCGAAAGCAUAAGGAUUCCUGAGCAACGAUCGUCGUCUCAGGGUAAGUCGGGACCUAAUCCGAGGCAAGAGGCGUAGGAGAUGGACAUCCGGUUGAGAAUCCGGAACCGGCAGAGGUUGUUUGAGCAAUGGAGUGACACAGGCAGGCAGGCGCGCGCGGGAUUGGAAGUCCGUGUGCAAGCGUGUGGCGCGGGGGACAGGCAAAUCCGUCCCCCAGGAGCGUGAGGCGUGACGCGGAGCUUUCCGUGAGGAAAGCGAAGGGGCUGAGCCUAUACUGUCGAGAAAAGCUUCUAGUGAGACCGAUGCCGCCCGUACCGUAAACCGACACAGGUAUGUGGGGAGAGGAUCCUAAGGUGCGCGGGAGAACCCUCGUUAAGGAACUCGGCAAAAUGUACCCGUAACUUCGGGAUAAGGGUAGCCGCGUGUUGUGAAGUAUGUACAUAUGGAGCAGAGCGCGGCCGCAGAGAAGAGGCCCAAGCGACUGUUUACCAAAAACUUAGGUGCCUGCCAAAGCGAAAGCUGACGUAUAGGUGCUGACACCUGCCCAGUGCCGGAAGGUUAAGGAAGGAGGUUCGGAGCGAUCCAACGCCUUCGACCGAAGCCCCGGUGAACGGCGGCCGUAACUAUAACGGUCCUAAGGUAGCGAAAUUCCUUGUCGGGU
Molecule: ribosomal RNA, 1964 nt
Filed under: human gut metagenome
Description: bacterial LSU rRNA
Rfam family: Bacterial large subunit ribosomal RNA
Source: RNAcentral